UCCGACGGUGAGGGGCGAAGGCUGGGGGCGCAAACCGGAUUAGAGACCCGGGUAGUCCCAGCAGUAAACGAUGCCAGCUAUGUGUUGCUGGAACCAUGGGUUCCAGCAGUGCCGAAGGGAAGCCGUGAAGCUGGCCACCUGGGAAGUACGGUCGCAAGGCUGAAACUUAAAGGAAUUGGCGGGGGAGUACCACAACCGGUGGAGCCUGCGGUUUAAUUGGAUACAACGCCGGGAAUCUUACCGGAGGGGACAGCAGUAUGAAGGCCAGGCUAAAGACCUUGCCAGAUCAGCUGAGAGGAGGUGCAUGGCCGUCGCCAGUUCGUACCGUGAGGCAUCCUGUUUAGUCAGGCAACGAUCGAGACCCGCAGUCUUAUUUGCCAGCAUGCCCUUUGGGGUGUAUGGGUACAAUAAGACGACCGCCAGCGCUAAGCUGGAGGAAGGAGCGGGCUACGGUAGGUCAGCAUGCCCCGAAUCCUCCGGGAUACACGCGGGCUACAAUGGUCAGGACAAAAGGUACCGACCUCGAAAGAGUGAGGUAAUCCACAAACCUGAUCUCAGUCCGGAUCGAAGGCUGCAACUCGCCUUCGUGAAGAUGGAAUCGGUAGUAAUCGUGACUCAAAAUGUCACGGUGAAUAUGUCCCUGCUCCUUGCACACACCGGCCGUAAAG
Molecule: ribosomal RNA, 668 nt
Filed under: uncultured archaeon
Lineage: Archaea
Description: bacterial SSU rRNA
Rfam family: Archaeal small subunit ribosomal RNA
Source: RNAcentral